RNAcentral lists this ribosomal RNA (634 nucleotides) under Lactobacillus amylovorus. Its description in RNAcentral is "bacterial SSU rRNA". It matches the Rfam family "Bacterial small subunit ribosomal RNA", at positions 42 to 643 of the family's 1533-position model. The record is from RNAcentral. Lineage: Bacteria; Bacillati; Bacillota; Bacilli; Lactobacillales; Lactobacillaceae.
GCGUGCCUAAUACAUGCAAGUCGAGCGAGCGGAACCAACAGAUUUACUUCGGUAAUGACGUUGGGAAAGCGAGCGGCGGAUGGGUGAGUAACACGUGGGGAACCUGCCCCUAAGUCUGGGAUACCAUUUGGAAACAGGUGCUAAUACCGGAUAAUAAAGCAGAUCGCAUGAUCAGCUUUUGAAAGGCGGCGUAAGCUGUCGCUAAGGGAUGGCCCCGCGGUGCAUUAGCUAGUUGGUAAGGUAACGGCUUACCAAGGCGACGAUGCAUAGCCGAGUUGAGAGACUGAUCGGCCACAUUGGGACUGAGACACGGCCCAAACUCCUACGGGAGGCAGCAGUAGGGAAUCUUCCACAAUGGACGCAAGUCUGAUGGAGCAACGCCGCGUGAGUGAAGAAGGUUUUCGGAUCGUAAAGCUCUGUUGUUGGUGAAGAAGGAUAGAGGUAGUAACUGGCCUUUAUUUGACGGUAAUCAACCAGAAAGUCACGGCUAACUACGUGCCAGCAGCCGCGGUAAUACGUAGGUGGCAAGCGUUGUCCGGAUUUAUUGGGCGUAAAGCGAGCGCAGGCGGAAAAAUAAGUCUAAUGUGAAAGCCCUCGGCUUAACCGAGGAACUGCAUCGGAAACUGUUUUUCUU